Molecule: ribosomal RNA, 460 nt
Filed under: uncultured bacterium
Lineage: Bacteria
Description: partial 16S ribosomal RNA
Rfam family: Bacterial small subunit ribosomal RNA
Source: RNAcentral
CCUACGGGAGGCAGCAGUGAGGAAUAUUGGUCAAUGGGCGCGAGCCUGAACCAGCCAAGUCGCGUGAGGGAGGACGGCCCUACGGGUUGUAAACCUCUUUUGCCGGGGAGCAACGGGCGCCACGUGUGGCGCCACUGAGAGUACCCGGAGACAAAGCAUCGGCUAACUCCGUGCCAGCAGCCGCGGUAAUACGGAGGAUGCGAGCGUUAGCCGGAUUUAUUGGGUUUAAGGGGUGCGUAGGCGGAUCGUUAAGUCAGUGGUCAAAUUGAGGGGCUCAACCCCUUCCCGCCAUUGAAACUGGCGUUCUUGAGUGGAAGAGAAGUAUGCGGAAUGCGCGGUGUAGCGGUGAAAUGCAUAGAUAUCACGCAGAACCCCGAUUGCGAAGGCAGCAUGCCGGCUUCCGACUGACGCUGAAGCACGAAAGCGUGGGGAUCGAACAGGAUUAGAUACCCUUGUAGUC